ACGUGGGGAACCGUGCCCCACUAGUCUGGGAUACCACUUGGAAACAGGUGCUAAUACCGGAUAAGAAAGCGGAUCGCAUGAUCAGCUUUUAAAAGGCGGCGUAAGCUGUCGCUAUGGGAUGGCCCCGCGGUGCAUUAGCUAGUUGGUAAGGUAAAGGCUUACCAAGGCGAUGAUGCAUAGCCGAGUUGAGAGACUGAUCGGCCACAUUGGGACUGAGACACGGCCCAAACUCCUACGGGAGGCAGCAGCG
RNAcentral lists this ribosomal RNA (250 nucleotides) under uncultured Lactobacillus sp. RNAcentral's name for it is "partial 16S ribosomal RNA". It matches the Rfam family "Bacterial small subunit ribosomal RNA", at positions 115 to 356 of the family's 1533-position model. Lineage: Bacteria; Bacillati; Bacillota; Bacilli; Lactobacillales; Lactobacillaceae. The record is from RNAcentral.